AUACGUAGGUGACAAGCGUUAUCCGGAUUUACUGGGCGUAAAGGGCGUGUAGGCGGUCUUGCAAGUCAGAAGUGAAAUUCCUGAGCUCAACUCGGGCGCUGCUUCUGACACUGCAGGACUUGAGUGCUGGAGGGGAUAGCGGAAUUCCUAGUGGAGCGGUAAAAUGCGCAGAUAUUAGGAGGAACACCGGUGGCGAAGGCGGCUAUCUGGACAGUAACUGACGCUGAGGCGCGAAAGCACGGGGAGCAAACAGGAUUAGAUACCCUGGUAGUCCGUGCCGUAAACGAUGAAUACUAGGUGUAGGGGGUAUCGACUCCCUCUGUGCCGCAGUUAACACAUUAAGUAUUCCACCUGGGGAGUACGGCCGCAAGGUUGAAACUCAAAGGAAUUGACGGGG
This 397-nucleotide ribosomal RNA is filed under the name uncultured bacterium. RNAcentral's name for it is "partial 16S ribosomal RNA". It matches the Rfam family "Bacterial small subunit ribosomal RNA", at positions 523 to 918 of the family's 1533-position model. The record is from RNAcentral.